This 1098-nucleotide long non-coding RNA is filed under the name Heterocephalus glaber (naked mole-rat). Its description in RNAcentral is "lncRNA (ENSHGLG00100034510.1)". Lineage: Eukaryota; Metazoa; Chordata; Mammalia; Rodentia; Bathyergidae. The record is from RNAcentral.
CUCAACCCCCCCCCCCAGGCCUCCUGGCUGCAUAGGUACCUGGUCCUACAUUGCACACACUGCAGAAGCACAGGGGGUCAUAAAGGCCAUUGUCCUGAGCUGCAGAAGUUGUAGAAGUGAACAAUAAUACAAAGAGGGCCUCUCUCAGCCUCCUUAAUGGAAAUUGAAGCCCACUGGAAAAGUGAAAGGAAUCUCUGCAAUCAAGGCACACCAGACCACCAUAGUUGCUCCUUUUAGGUCCCCAUCCUGAAGGAUAAAGUGGCUGUAUCGAAGAGUUUAUUCACUAUAAACAUAUUUUGGGAAGGUCCUCAAUUUUGAUGUAAUUCACAUGGUUAAAGGUGAUAGAUUAAUAACUACCACAAAUUGUUAUUUUCUAAACUGUGCUUGAUGCUACUGUGUUGCUGAUUGUAUCCUUUGGGCUAAGGUAUUGUGAUUGAUCUAGUCAGUUCCUGGUAUAAUGAAAAUGAGAUUGUCCAGAGUCAUUAGAGACUCAAAACCUAAAGACCAGCUACAUCUAGAAGAUACCUCUGAGAAGCAAUCAUUCCAUAAGCAUUCUAAAUACAACCAACAAAGAUACUUACAAUAAGCAAUAUCAAAGUAUCAACCCAGGAAUUAAACCAAGGACAGUACCAACAACAAAAAUAAAAAUGAGAAGACAUUUAAGCAAGGCACAAACCCACACUUUCAGACCACCAAGGCAAAUUCUGGGGUAAACAAGGUGGAAAAUUCUGAUGCUCAACCACCUGGACACCCUGAACUGAUAGCACUGGAAGUAACAAAACAGAUGAAUGAGGCUCUAGAAAAAUUCAAAACAGAAAUAAUUUUCCAGAUAACUACAGAUAUGGUGAGUGGAAUGAAAGACAUGAUUAGAGACUCUAGAACAGAAACAGAUAAAAAAAAAAAUAGCUGAGUUCAGGACCGUGAUAGAAACCAUGAAUGCCCAACAUAGGAAAGAAAUGGAAACCAUGAAUGCCCAACUUAGGAAAGAAAUGGAAUCCAUGAAAGAGAUUCAAACAGAUAUCCAGGAGAUGAAAAACUCCACUGAAAGCAUACACAGCACACUGAGCCAAUCUGAAGACAGAAUAUCAGAUAGAGAAG